RNAcentral lists this transfer RNA (85 nucleotides) under Escherichia coli. RNAcentral describes it as "tRNA-Sec". It matches the Rfam family "Selenocysteine transfer RNA". The record is from RNAcentral. Lineage: Bacteria; Pseudomonadati; Pseudomonadota; Gammaproteobacteria; Enterobacterales; Enterobacteriaceae.
GGAAGUAGCUGAGGCGGCUGGACUUCAAAUCCAGUUGGGGCCGCCAGCGGUCCCGGGCAGGUUCGACUCCUGUGAUCUUCCGCCA